Long non-coding RNA from Gymnogyps californianus (California condor), 1010 nucleotides. RefSeq lists it as uncharacterized. The record is from RefSeq and is a predicted model, not a curated record. NCBI's taxonomy places the organism in Eukaryota, Metazoa, Chordata, Aves, Accipitriformes, Cathartidae. The transcript has 4 exons.
GUUGCCCCACCGUAAGGUGAAGCAAAGUGUGAGAUCAGCAAGAGAUUCUCUUAAAUUCCAUGCGAAAGGAGGCUUGUGCUGGUUUUAGUUCAGAUGAACUGUUCACAAAAGAAAACACUGUUUGGGAUGGACAGCAAUACCUGGCUAGAAGGGGCAGAGCGUGAACAUGUCGGUGGGAGUUCCAGCAAGUGAUUUCCCCCUUGUUAAGCAGCAUACGCCUCUGAAGAAAACCGAUCUUGAAGUCGUUUCAGGAAAAGGGGAUAUCCCAAUGUCUGUCUUCUUCACUGACUAAGCUUCAUCUUUUGAUAACUGUGAAGCGUCAAAUACCUCAGUUAAGAUGAUCAAGGAACCAUCUGGAGAGGCUACUUCUGAACAUGAUCCAUCGUCUCUUGGAACAGAUGGACCUGUGAUCUACUUGCAUUAUCCUCCCAGUCAGAGGGAUUCAGCUUUUCACCGUGCAGCUUCAUCUGCUGCCUCCCAGCACCUCAAGUCACCGAGUCCUCUUGGGAGUCCCUCUGCUUUCCAAAACAGGUUACUAAUUCUUAAUCAGGUCAGUUACCUGAGUGACUUUGUGCUGUGAGAACACAAGCUGAAUGACCAGAAGGAUUCACUUUCUGACUUCUUGGGCAAGUUGAGCUUAUGAUUCUCAGAUAAACUUCAGUAGAAAAAUUGUGGCAACUCGUCAGGAAAUGCUUUCUUUGUAAGGAUAUGUAGAAAAGCCGUGGUUCACCUAGCAAGUCUCCUUCAGUGGCUAGGACUAGACACUUCAGAAGGGGGCGUGAAAACCCACGUAGAAUACAGCUGCGUGAAGAAAUACCCCGAAGAAAGUUUUGGCACCCCUGCCAAUGGAUAGUUGCCUUUAUGCCCUGAAAUGUGAGAUUUAUGUUCCAUGCAAAUUCUUUAUUUCUCUUUAUGAUACGCUUUCACGAUCAUGAAAUAAUUUUCUGCAGUUCCCUGGAGAGUUCCGCAGUUGAACGAUGCCUCAGGCAGACAAAUACAACGGAUGUAUU